AACUCUCCAUUAAUGAGGAAUUUUGGUGACAUGCCCAUCUUUAGUUGUAGUUUUUGAACUAGAAUUAUUUGGGAUGUUCUAUUCUAUAAGCUAUAGAUUCUCUAGGGAAACAUUGUCAUCAAAAUUGCAAUAUUUGUUCAUAUUGUGGUUUUCUGCUCCAAUUUAGAUCUAUUGUGUGUAGCAGUGAAAGAAAUCUGUUAAACUCAUAUUUCUUGUAGACUUCAAUGAUCUAUUGAUUCCUAUAGAUAUUAUUGGGAUUUUAUUUUGUCCUUCAGUCUGAACCACUAUUGCCAAUUCAUGCACUCUAGUGCGUCCUGAGUCUUUUUUCCUGUUUGAGAAUAUUGAGUUUUCGUCCACCAUGAGCUCAAGAGUUUUAUUUGGUAGAAGCAGAAGAGAACCAUACAGAAAAACUACUUAGAGUUUCAGAAGGACUUACCUUUGACCGACAAACAGAGAAAAGUAAGUAGUAUAAGCAGAAAAAGGACCAAAAACUCAGUAAACUAAUUUACAGUGAAGGAUAAGACUUUCACAACAAGCCUUUGACUAAUGAACAGACAAGAUUAUUUGUAAUUUCUCUCUUAUCACUUCUAUUUAUUAAGAAGGAAAUGAAGCCAAUGUCACCAGUUAUCACAUGAUGAUAACUAGCUUGCCUUUGAAAUCUGGUAUAACUUUCCUCGAGGUAAAUUUUAUUAGCCAUAAAAUCCUGAUGAAUAUUUUUAGUUAAUUAAUGGAAGUACUUUGCCUUUAGAUGUUCUUCUUCGUUAUUAAUUUAGACUACUAUUCUCAGGUCCUUCUAAUUGAGGUUUGAUUCAGAAUCAUUUCCCUAGUAGGCUGAAUGAUGAAGUGUCUUUCACAGUUUCACUCAUAGUGUUCAAAUUGGGUGCUACAGAAUUCUCAUUUACUGAAGUGAAUACUAUUCGAGCAAGCGCCAGCAAGGUUACCUGUUGCCACUUCUCAUCAGAUGGGAAAGUACUUGCUACUGGUGGACAUGAUAAGAAAGUAAGUACAGGCAGUUAUGUGGACAUGAUAAUAUGUUGUCUUAUGCCAUAGUCUGAUAAUGGGAUGGUUAAAUUUCUGGAUUAUGCAGGCUGUACUGUGGUAUGCAGAUACUUUAAAGCCGAAAACAACUCUGGAGGAACAUUCUUUAAUGAUCACGGAUGUUCGAUUUAGUCCAACCAUGUCUCGCCUGGCAACAUCUUCUUUCGACAAAACUGUCAGAGUCUGGGAGGCUGACAAUGUUGGUGAACAUAAUAUCUCAUUGACACUCAUGUUUUUUAGAUUUUUGAAUUCUUUUUGUAUUCAAAGCUUCUUGCAACAGCCUUCUGAUAUACUGAACUACAGGAGGUGCCAGCCUGACUUUAAGUACUGAUGAAAUUUCAAAACUUUUUUCCACAAUGAUACAAGUGCUUAUGAUGCAAGUGUGUUUUUCCGGGAGAGAACAAUCUAAUGGAAGUUGUUGUUUUACAUACCCUGGAAAGUUACGUAGAACAUGACCUACACUUGUAGCUCCAAGCAAGCAGAUGUACGGGCAUGAGUUAAUUGACAGGACGCUGAAUUUGUAGUUAAGUGCAUGAUGGUGAAGGGUGAAGAAGUAGGUAAUCUGUCCCUUAGAGCUGACCACAGAAGAUUUUGUUCUUUUAGAGGAAUGGAGCAGGACUUUCAAGUAAAGCUGGUUACCUGUUAUUACUCAGAUACUUAGAUAUUCCUGUCUUUGGCUUGUUGCCACUUGCAACAUCAAUAAAAAAUGGCUUUGUGGUCGAUUUUAGCUUCGUACCCCUAAUAGGAGUCGCCAUUGUUUUAAAAUCUGAACAUUGAAAAUUUGGGAACAUAUACUAUUUUGAGUUGAUAUUAUGAAUUUAUUGCCUAACUGUCCAUGUGAAUGGUUUUGCAAUCUGACUCUUGUUCAAAACCUAGAGAGUUGCUUCAGUAUGUAAGUUCUCUGAAUUUCCACACUUGCUUACAUGAGAUGAUCGUCUCCUCUUAUUACCCUUGAAGCCGGAAUUCUAGAGGCUGCUGAUAUUGAUAAACUCUGCCAUGGGUACUCUCCCGUGAUAAUAAUCAAGUGAAGAUUUGGCUACUUCCUUCAUAGAUCAUUUUGAAAGCAUUCUCUUCGGAGCUCAAUGAAUUGCUGUUUUUGGACUGCAGACUUCUGCGGCAUUUGUUGUGUGGCUUUUUUAUGAAAUGGUGUCUGUGACUAUGAGGAUUGUAUUUAUCCUUCUUGGCUCUUAUGCAUUAUUUUGGCAGCUCAAUGUCGAGGUUCCUUCAUUUUACCCUGAUAAUGAUCAUGUUUCAAGAGUUUCCUGUUUCGGUAGUUGUUGGUCAAUGUGGAGGGCAAAUUCACAUGUGACCUUGCUAAGAUUUAUUUGACCGUCUCUGUUUUGUUCGCUCGUGAUAGUACGCAUUUAGCUUCAUUUUUGUUGGCUUUAUGUCUAAUGUCCAUGUGCAUAUGGUAUCAUCAAUGGAUUAUUUGUUCAUUUCAGGCUGGUUAUUCUCUUCGGACUUUUAUGGGGCAUUCUUCUACUGUUGCGUCUCUGGACUUCCACCCAAAUAAAGAUGAUCUUAUCUGCUCUUGCGAUGGGGAUGGUGAGAUAAGAUACUGGAGCAUUAAUAACGGCAGCUGUUCGAGGGUAUUCAGGGUACAAAUUAAUAUGAAUUGUCAUGCUAAUCUUGUUGCUCCUUGUGGUUUUAAUGAGAUGGUGCAUCAAGUGCAUCUCGAUUCUCUAAAAAUGUAUAACUUAUGUUGCUCGUGAAUCAGGGUGGCACAGCCCAGUUGAGAUUCCAGCCACGUCUUGGAAGGUAUCUUGCUGCUGCGGCAGAUAAUGUCUUAUCGAUAUUGGAUGUAGAGACACAAGCGUGCAGGCAAACUUUGCAGGUUGAAUUUUUAGUAACUUCCUCCUUUUUAUUCGGUCUAGUUAAGUGGGGAUUGUUAAAAGGGGAUAUUGUUGCUGAGUGAAUGAUUGUCUUACCUCUAGUAGGUAUGAUUGAAUGAUGUUGUCUGCAACUACCUUUCCAGAUUCUAUGCCAUUGAAUUGUAUGCUUGCUACUGAUGGCUUUAGUUCAUGCUCUGUUAUCGUGUUGUUAUUUUGAAAUGACUAUGUUUUAUUUCUCUGGUUAGUAGAACAAAAGCUAUUAUUUCAUCUCUCUGCCAAAAUCUUACUGUGGUGAUGGGAGUUGUUUUGUUUUUUAUGCUAGGGUGUAUUGGUGAACCUAUUGGCUUGCUGGAUAUACCUUAGUCACCUUGCCUAAAUAAAGUAGCAUUUUCCCAGGUCUAGGUUUAAGGUUCAAUCUAGUUGACAGAUAACAGUAGGAAAAAAGUUUGUCAUCUAAGCUUGUCAUCUUUUUAUCUGCUGUAUCUAAGCAUAUGAUGUUCAUGUAUGUGUCACCAUUUACAGAUGCUAUUUUAAUGACACAAUUAGUUUCAAGGUGUAUCUCAUCUUUCAGAGCAUUUUAUGGUUUGCAUCUAUCUUAUUGAAAUUGUUACUCAUUCAAUUGCACGGCCUUUUAGUUCAAGUUGGCCUUUCUUUUCUUUGAGAUUGUCACAAUUAGUAUUUUUAUUCUCUUUGUUUCCUGCUUCUAGUAACAUGUUGAUCGUUCCCACAUGAAUCUGAAUUUUGAUAACAGGGGCAUACUAAGGCAAUCGAUUCUGUGUGUUGGGAUUCUACUGGCGAUUUAGUUGCGUCUGUCAGUGAGGACUCUGUUAGAGUUUGGGCAGUUGGGUCUGGUAGUGAAUGGGACUGUGUACAUGAAUUGAGCUGCAAUGGAAACAAGGCCCACUCCUGCGUGUUCCACCCAACUUAUCCUUCACUUUUGGUGAUUGGCUGCUACCAGGUAAGGCGCACGUUUGAAUUAUUUAUUUUAGCAUUUCAUGUGAAUUCUAGCUCUGUACAUAGGAGAAGUGAGAUAUAAGUCCAUGUUUAGAUGUUCCCAAAUUUUGUUAAUUUUUAGGAUUACAUAAGAAAUUUUGAGCGAGCUUCUUGGGGAUGCUAAUCAGGCUCAUGAGUUUCUAAAAUAUUAAGUAUUGCCUAGUAUAAAUCAGGCGACUUUCUCACUAUCCUCUGAAGUAGUGAAGGUCGGGUAAUUGGCAACUUCGGAAUCAUAACUUCUGAAGCAGGCUGUAUAAGAGCCAUGGAACAGCAAAAGCUAUGUGCCUUAAAGUACGAGUCAUGUUAAUAGGCUCUUUGGACUUCUAUUGCCCCAUAAGAUCUUGGUUUAAUUGUGCUUUGGUCUAAGCUAAUCGAAAAUUCUCUGCAGACCCUGGAGCUCUGGAAUAUGGCCGAGAACAAGACAAUGGCUUUGCCAGCUCAUGACGGACUAAUUUCAGCAUUGGCAGUAUCAAAUGUGACGGGCCUGGUUGCUUCAGCUAGUCACGACAAGACAGUGAAGCUGUGGAAGUGAUACUUUGGCAUCUCCAGGUAUUUUUCCUAAGCACUCAGAUUGGAAGACUGAAUUCGCUGUUCCCAUCAAAGUGCAUGUAUCUUGUCCUUGUAUCAGUUGCCUCAGUACGCCCAGGUGGUGUCGUCUCACUGAUACUAAUUUAGAGCUUAUGAUGAGCGAUGGGAUUUAACUUUGUGACAUUUGUUGCUGUUGUACAUCAGGUGAUGACUUCUUUUGUCAAGUUGAAGCUUUCUGCGAAUGCUUCAGUGACAUGUAAUGUUUGGCCUUUCCUUAGAGAAGGAAAUGUUCUCAGAUAGGACUCUACAUCGAUAAUUGCCGUCUUCUCUCGUUUGGUACUUAUGCCAUGUCUCUUGAACUUCGAUGUCAUUUAGUUUUCUGGUCGGAUUGAAAUUCUAAUUGUCGGUUUCAUUCUCAUCAACUUAAAGGGCGAAAAGAAACAGAUUUCGAGGAACCCCCCCACUUUUUAGCUGUUAAGAGCUUGAGAUGGAAUGAAAUAUGUUCUGGUUAGAUCCCUAGGAAACAAGUGGAUCCAUCAACUCUAAGAAUGGCUGAAGGUAAAGGAAAAAGGCUGCGAGGACUGCUAAAAAAGUAUCCCCCUGCUGUAGCCUUUACUUGGGUAUUAUUUACCUUUUUUGUAUGGAUUAAUGCCAGCACACGGAUGAUACGGAAUCUGAGCCUAAGAUAUAGUACCUCCCUUGGUGAUUCCAUCCACUGGGUGAUUAUUAAAUGGAGGCUUUCAUACUAGAGUUAUUGCCUUGGAAGUAAAGCAAGAUUUACCGUGCGAAAAAUAUAGUGGACAUGUGGAGUGGCAAAAUCUCUUUUCUCGUAAUAACUGUGUAUAUGUUGCAAUCAAGGGGUUCCACUAAAUCACUGUAGUAAACAUGUUUUGCACGAUGCGAUAAAUGCACUGUCGGCAUGAUUCGUAUUCGAAUGUACGCGGUGGUGCUAUAUAUUGUAUUGCUGGUGAGUGAAAAAGCCAGAAGCAGCUGUAAAUGUAACUUGUUUUGAGCGGGAUUGAGGGGAAUUUGCAAGUAUGCGUGGCUCAUCUGAAAUGCUGGUCUCACGGUGAUAUCAAAUUCUCCGCUGGUUCUAUGCUCUUCAUGGGGCCAGAACGCACCAAUUGCCUGCGCUCACAUCGGCUUUCGUCAUAUCAUUUACGGCAAGGCAGAUCCUUUGCCGCAUUAGGGGCCUCAUGUUGCAAGUUCCGUUCUCCCUCCUGCCCGGCGAAGUGCAUAAUACCAUCGUCGGUCUCCUCUACCCGACGCGCCGACCGGAGGUUCUCGGAUCUUUGCUUAUCGUGCCUACCCAGCAGGUUAUGCAUGCGAUGGGCUAAAGGCAGAGUCCCAUCAAACAUGAUCAGCCUCGUCUGACGAUUAUUGACUGUAGAAAUUCCUACAUCUGAGGAGAGUUCUAGUCCGAUGAUGUCGAGUUGAUCUGCUGUGUUCCUCUAUCGUGACAGAACAUGCGUUUGCGUUGGGCAACAAAGGGUUUUUCUUUUAAACAAAAUUCAAUCGAGAGAACACGGGAUACAAAAGCCAUGAACUUUUAUCUAUCUCAAAAGUUAGAAACAAAUAUGUAUAUCUAUAGAUAAAUUGAUAUCGUUCUUAGAUAUGAUUAUAAUAACUAGAUACAAUUCAAAAUGAGGUUCUAUUUUUAGUGCCAUACUUAUUGUUGAUUCAGAAAAUGAAUUGAAAUGAAAAGAUAUUUCAAAAUUCGGGAAUCAAAGUUAGAAGUCCUGAGUUCGAAUGUUUUAAGGUCACAUUCGUCUCUUCAAUUAAAUUUUCAUGCUUAGUACCAAACAGAAGACUGAUCAAACUAAGCGUGAAGGUAGUGUUAGGAUAUUUAAAUAAUAAGUCGUAUAUUCAUCUAAUAGUUUAAGCUUUUACAAUAGUUGACAGUGCACCACAAAAUCCCACACUUCUCUUUAGAUAGUUUUGUUCGGUCUCGAGAUAUAGUAAAGGUGAAAAACUCACAUUUCUCCUCUUUUUAAGUAUAAUAACACUUCAAAGGAGAAGAGAAGUAUGAGGGUUUACAGAUUCACUAUAAACUGUUUUAAAAGUUUAAGCGAUUAGAUGAGAGCAUAACUUAUUAAUUAAAUAUUUUAACACUCCUUCUCAUGUUUAAUCUGAUCGGUUUUCUAUUUAGUACUAAGUGUAAAAAUUUAAUUGAAGAGACAAAUAUAGGGUAAGUUACCAAUGAGAUCUGCCUUUGGCUAAUCUAACGAAAAGGUAUUUAAAGGGGUAGUUAAAAAGCUGUAAGGCUAGCUUCCCCUUUCCCAAUGGGAAAGAAGCCCUUUGUUUCUUUCUUAUCCAAAAGCAGAGGGCCAAGACAGGAGCAAGAACCCUUGGAUCCAUCGAGAAACACCGUGCCAUCCCCUGAAUUUGGAGGCGCAAUUAUUACAUCUUCAUGCAUCACCCACUUAUUCCAAAGAUUAAUCCUUAAAAGAAAGAGAUUGAUUUCUAUUUAAAAAAAUUUUAAAAAAUGACUUACGAAAAGGAAUGAGUGAAUGAAUAAUUUUUUUUUCAUUAUCCAUGAAAAUAUUUACGCAUAAUUUGCUUCGGCGGCUGCGAAAUCUUUGGUAAUUUUUAUUUGAUCGGAAAAUUUGUGAUAAUUCAGACACAAAAUAAAGGGGCGAGACUAUCAGCCGUGGUGGCUCUACUGGGUAGGCUCCUACCUUUGAAGGGAAACGUCAAGUGUUCGAAACUCUUGCAAUUGCAAGGAGGUUGGUAGAUCAUUAGGUGUAUUACGCGUGGCGCCCUGGUGGUGGAUUCUGAGCUAGCGUCACUUGGGGUUUACGUGGCGGCUGUCAGGCAAAAGGUUCGCUCUAGUGGUGGGUCAUGAGCUAGCGUCACUUGGGUUUACGUGGCGGCUGUCAGCCAAAAUUCCUCCGGCCAAAAAAAAAAAAAAAAAACAAAGGGGCAAGAUUUUUUUUAAGAAAAGACGCACGAGGCAAUUCAAUUCCUGCUCCUGUGUGCCUCGACCUUUCUUUGUACGGGGUUUCUCUCUCCGGAACAUUCGUGGCACGCGUUUCUUGGUUCGUUCCUUUUUCUCCCAGUUUGGACGCUCACUUCCGGAGAGAUCGUUCGUCAUUUUACACCGUGGAGUGCCCAUUUUUUUUUCCUUGAAUUUUCGGUUGGAAGUCUUCCAUCGCCUUCGAGUAAAUUGGUCAGUCAGGUUUAGACUUUGUUUUUGGCUGAUGAUAAUCUCUUAGCAUGAAUUCAGUUAUAUUGUUCAGUAAUGAUCUGGAUCUUCAACUACAGGCAGAUACUGUUGGUCGCUCCAUGGAUGUUAGCAAAGGUGCCUGAGAACUCUACAUUAAUGGGGAAUUUUGGUGACAUGCCCAUCUUUAAUCGUUGUUCUUGAACUAGAAUUAUGUGGCGUGUGCUAUUCUAUAUGCUUUAGAUUUUCUAGGGAAACGUUGUCAUAUAAAUUGCAACAUAUAUAUUUGUUCACUUUGUUGUUUUCUGCUCCAAAUUUAGAUCUAUUGUGUGUAUAGCAGGGAAAGAAAUCUGUUAGUCUCAUAUAUCUUGUAGACUUCGAUAAUCUAUUGAUUCACAUAGAUGGUAUUGGGAUUUUCCUUUGUCCUUCAGUCUGAACGACUAUUGCCAAUUCAUGCGCUCUGGUGCGUCUUGAGCCUUUUUUUUUUUCCUUUCUGAGGAUCUGUAAGAUUUCGUCCACCAUGAGCUCAGAGUUUGAUUGGUCGAAACAGAAGGGAACCAUACAGAAAAAACUACUGAAAGAGUUUCAGAAGGACUAACCUUUGAGCGACAACGGAGAAACGUAAGUGGUAUGAGCAGAAAAAGGACCAAAACUCAAUAAACUAAGUUACAACGAAGGACAAGACUUUCACGACAAGCCUUUGAAUAAUGCACAGACAAGAUAAUUUUGUCAUUUCUCGCUAUCACUCCUAUCUAUUAAGAAGGAAAUGAACCCAAUGACACCAGUUAACAAAGGAUGAUAACUAGCCUGCCUUUGGAAUCAAGUGUAACUUUCCUUGAGGUAAAUUUUAUCAACCGUAAAAUCCUGAUGAAUAUUUUUAGUUAGUUAAUGGAAGAACUUUGCCUUUAGAUGUCCUUCUUCGUUAUUAAUUUAGACUACCAUUCUCAGGUCUUUCUAAUUGAGGUUUGAUGCAGAAUCAUUUCCCUAGUAGGCUGAAUGAUGAAGUGUCUUUCACAGUUUCACUCAUAGUGUUCAAAUUGGGUGCUACAGAAUUCUCAUUUACUGAAGUGAAUACUAUUCGAGCAAGCGCCAGCAAGGUUACCUGUUGCCACUUCUCAUCAGAUGGGAAAGUACUUGCUACUGGUGGACA
This 8704-nucleotide long non-coding RNA is filed under the name Eucalyptus grandis. Its description in RNAcentral is "long non-coding RNA (EGRA_LNC001784)". The record is from RNAcentral. Lineage: Eukaryota; Viridiplantae; Streptophyta; Magnoliopsida; Myrtales; Myrtaceae.